RNAcentral lists this ribosomal RNA (314 nucleotides) under uncultured eukaryote. RNAcentral's name for it is "partial 18S ribosomal RNA". It matches the Rfam family "Eukaryotic small subunit ribosomal RNA", at positions 1470 to 1796 of the family's 1831-position model. The record is from RNAcentral.
UCCUUAGAUGUCCUGGGCCGCACGCGUGCUACACUGAUGCAUACAGCGAGUACUCCCAGCUCCGCGAGGCUGCUGGUAAUCAGCAAUAUGCAUCGUGAUGGGGAUAGAUCUUUGGAAUUAUAGAUCUUGAACGAGGAAUUCCUAGUAAACGCAAGUCAUCACCUUGCGUUGACUAAGUCCCUGCCCUUUGUACACACCGCCCGUCGCUCCUACCGAUUUCGAGUGAUCCGGUGAAUCAUUCGGACCGCGUGGGCUUGACCUAACGUGGAAAGUCUAGUAAACCAUAUCACUUAGAGGAAGGAGAAGUCGUAACA